RNAcentral lists this long non-coding RNA (1079 nucleotides) under Mus musculus (house mouse). RNAcentral describes it as "RIKEN cDNA 4933424M12 gene". The record is from RNAcentral. Lineage: Eukaryota; Metazoa; Chordata; Mammalia; Rodentia; Muridae.
GACAUUACAAAGCUUCCGGUUUCCCUUCCCGCUGUGUGUGAAGUCCUCCGUGCCGUCUGACCCACUUUAACUUUCUCAUUUGUUUGUUUUCUGGCUUCCCCUCUGGAAGCAUUGCCCCAUGAGGGGAAUGUGUGUGUUAUGGCUGCUUUCUUACCUUUGCCUGUGGCACUGUGCCAUGCGCAAGCGAGCUCAAGCGUUAAACACAGAAAGAAUACGAGGAAGAACACACAGCAGGCUAUGGCUGGUUGUCAUAGAAAGGCCUCAUCCCUGGAAGGUUUCUGCAGAACCUGAAACUGCCAGACCCCUGACCUAAGAAAAUGGAAGUCUUAGGUGAUCAUGGACCCUAAUGGGGGCACCAAGGGAUUAAGAGAUUAUGAAAAGAAAAGUUUAAGACUAGAAAAUCCCCAUGUGAGGGCUGACUGGCCUAUGAACCACCAAGACAACCUAAAGUAGGUAAACUGAAGCUGGCCUGGCUUGGCCUCCCCCUGGGACCUUAAUGGACUCGCAUCCUGGGAGUCUGGGUCCCAAGACCUAAUCCCUCUUUUGGCAUCGCUUGAUGUUGGACUCAAAGGAGACGCUCCUCUGCCCUGCAAUAAGAACUCAGUGUGGCCACAGGCUCACCAGCCUUGUCGUCUUCCUGGGCCAUGGAGAAGACUGCAUUUCCCAGCCUCAACUCCCAAGGCGAUGACGUGCUAUGGUUGGCUCCCACCAAAACUCAUCUCGAAGUGUGGUUGCCGAGGCAAUUGUGUUGGUCCAGCCUUUCCACUACCCCUAGAGUGACACUUCUUGCUUUGUCCCCUGCCUCCCACCAUGCCCAUGAGUUGAAGAUAAGGGUCUCAUAAAACAGAAGCAUCUUGGGAAGCUGAGGUCACAGGAUCAGAAGUUCAAGGACACUCUCUGCUACAUCUGCUGGUUUAGUUCCAGCUUGGACUACGUAAGACCCUGAGCCUUGUCCCCUGCACCACCACCCCCUGCCCAGGAAAAGAAGGAGAUUGGAUAUGGGAGUUGCUGUGCUCAGGCAAUUCAUUGACCUGGACUGUAUUUGUGCAAGCAAGAAAUAAACCUUUAUUACCACUGCA